RNAcentral lists this ribosomal RNA (301 nucleotides) under uncultured bacterium. Its description in RNAcentral is "partial 16S ribosomal RNA". It matches the Rfam family "Bacterial small subunit ribosomal RNA", at positions 509 to 807 of the family's 1533-position model. The record is from RNAcentral.
CAGCCGCCGCGGUAAUACGGAGGGUGCAAGCGUUAAUCGGAAUUACUGGGCGUAAAGCGUGCGUAGGCGGUGAGUUAAGUCUGCUGUGAAAUCCCCGGGCUCAACCUGGGAAUGGCAGUGGAUACUGGCUCGCUAGAGUGUGUCAGAGGAUGGUGGAAUUCCCGGUGUAGCGGUGAAAUGCGUAGAGAUCGGGAGGAACAUCAGUGGCGAAGGCGGCCAUCUGGGACAACACUGACGCUGAGGCACGAAAGCGUGGGGAGCAAACAGGAUUAGAUACCCCGGUAGUCCCUGUCUCUUAUAC